CGCCCCGGCAGAGCACUCCAUUGCUUCUCCCCGGCCUUCACGCCGCUCCCCUUCUCGCUCCUGCGCCGCUUCCCUUCCCCCGUCCCUGCCGCUAUAAAAGGGAAUGCGCGAGCCCGCCGGAGUUCCCUCCGCCAUUGCUGCCUUCCGCCAUUUCUCUUGCUCCCUGCUCAAGCUCCUAGCGCCACACCCUAAGUUCCUGAGAAACUCUCCUCUCAGCUCCCCUCCGUUUUCCCUAAGCCACCCAGCCGCUUGCUCCUCCGUGCUGCGUAAAAGCUCACUUGUGAUCCACAAGAAGCACCGCCGCCGCCGGAGCACUGCCGGACUUAGCCGUUGUUCAAAGCCUUAGUCCCUCCACCCAAGUCUGCUUCUUCCCGACCCCAAGCCUUCCUUGUAGGAAGAAGGUAAGCUGCCGACCUCAGUCCGCUUCGCCCGACCCCUCUUAUCCGCCCGACCCCGGUUCCGUCUCGCCCGACCCUAUCUGUUCCGCCGACCCUUAUCCGCCUCGCCCGAGGGCUCGGCUGUGAUCUUUUUCUUCAACCUGAGGGUGUAUGUGUAAAACUUAGGAACCCUUCAGCACUUGCGUCUGAGGAUCCCUAGUAUACCACAUCCUCUAGUUCAAGGAUCAGAUCAUAAGUUCCUUUCCAACCCUUACCUGUUGAUCUCCACCAGCUCCCUUGAACCUCCAC
Molecule: long non-coding RNA, 686 nt
Filed under: Setaria viridis
Lineage: Eukaryota; Viridiplantae; Streptophyta; Magnoliopsida; Poales; Poaceae
Description: long non-coding RNA (SVIR_LNC011062)
Source: RNAcentral